Molecule: non-coding RNA, 80 nt
Organism: Exophiala xenobiotica
Lineage: Eukaryota; Fungi; Ascomycota; Eurotiomycetes; Chaetothyriales; Herpotrichiellaceae
Source: the annotation of a RefSeq genome assembly
GCCCUGCUAGCUCAAUCGGUAGAGCGUAAGACUCUUACGAGAGAUAGCAAUCUUAAGGCUGUGGGUUCGACCGUAAGAUA